UUGCCCUACGGGAGGCAGCAGUGGGGAAUAUUGCACAAUGGGGGAAACCCUGAUGCAGCGACGCCGCGUGAGCGAAGAAGUAUUUCGGUAUGUAAAGCUCUAUCAGCAGGGAAGAAAAAUGACGGUACCUGAGUAAGAAGCACCGGCUAAAUACGUGCCAGCAGCCGCGGUAAUACGUAUGGUGCAAGCGUUAUCCGGAUUUACUGGGUGUAAAGGGUGCGUAGGCGGCCUGCUAAGUCUGGAGUGAAAGGUACCGGCUCAACCGGUACAGGCUCUGGAAACUGGCGGGCUAGAGAGCAGGAGAG
This 305-nucleotide ribosomal RNA is filed under the name uncultured bacterium. Its description in RNAcentral is "bacterial SSU rRNA". It matches the Rfam family "Bacterial small subunit ribosomal RNA", at positions 334 to 656 of the family's 1533-position model. The record is from RNAcentral.